CAUGGCGUACUGCUCAGUAACACGUGGAUAACCUGCCCUUGGGUCCGGCAUAACCCCGGGAAACUGGGGAUAAUUCCGGAUAACGCACAUAUGCUGGAAUGCUUUAUGCGUCAAAUGGAUUCGUCUGCCCAAGGAUGGGUCUGCGGCCUAUCAGGUAGUAGUGGGUGUAAUGUACCUACUAGCCGACGACGGGUACGGGUUGUGAGAGCAAGAGCCCGGAGAUGGAUUCUGAGACAUGAAUCCAGGCCCUACGGGGCGCAGCAGGCGCGAAAACUUUACAAUGCGGGAAACCGUGAUAAGGGGACACCGAGUGCCAGCAUCAUAUGCUGGCUGUCCGGGUGUGUAAAAUACACCUGUUAGCAAGGGCCGGGCAAGACCGGUGCCAGCCGCCGCGGUAACACCGGCGGCCCGAGUGGUGAUCGUGAUUAUUGGGUCUAAAGGGUCCGUAGCCGGUUUGGUCAGUCCUCCGGGAAAUCUGACGGCUUA
Molecule: ribosomal RNA, 486 nt
Filed under: Methanosarcina sp. enrichment culture clone H12
Lineage: Archaea; Methanobacteriati; Methanobacteriota; Methanomicrobia; Methanosarcinales; Methanosarcinaceae
Description: bacterial SSU rRNA
Rfam family: Archaeal small subunit ribosomal RNA
Source: RNAcentral